Molecule: ribosomal RNA, 492 nt
Filed under: uncultured bacterium
Lineage: Bacteria
Description: partial 16S ribosomal RNA
Rfam family: Bacterial small subunit ribosomal RNA
Source: RNAcentral
AGUGGACGCUGGCGGUAGGCCUAACACAUGCAAGUCGAACGGCAGCACAGUAAGAGCUUGCUCUUACGGGUGGCGAGUGGCGGACGGGUGAGGAAUACAUCGGAAUCUACUUUUUCGUGGGGGAUAACGUAGGGAAACUUACGCUAAUACCGCAUACGACCUACGGGUGAAAGCAGGGGAUCUUCGGACCUUGCGCGAUUGAAUGAGCCGAUGUCGGAUUAGCUAGUUGGCGGGGUAAAGGCCCACCAAGGCGACGAUCCGUAGCUGGUCUGAGAGGAUGAGCAGCCACACUGGAAGUGAGAAACGGUCCAGACGCCUACGGGAGGCAGCAGUGGGGAAUAUUGGACAAUGGGCGCAAGCCUGAUCCAGCCAUACCGAGUGGGUGAAGAAGGCCUUCGGGUUGUAAAGCCCUUUUGUUGGGAAAGAAAAGCAGCAGGUUAAUACCCCGCUGUUCUGACGGUACCCAAAGAAUAAGCACCGGCUAGCUUCGUG